Long non-coding RNA from Bubalus bubalis (water buffalo), 337 nucleotides. RefSeq lists it as uncharacterized. Lineage: Eukaryota; Metazoa; Chordata; Mammalia; Artiodactyla; Bovidae. The transcript has 2 exons. The record is from RefSeq and is a predicted model, not a curated record.
CAAACAACAGGGGGGGACUCGAGCCGGGAAAAAGACAGACCCGGGUGGGAGGAAAGCCUGCAGCAGGAAGGAGAGGGCUGGGAAGAGGGAGCUCUCAAGACUAGAAGGAAGGACCUUCCCGGGCACCAAGCAGAAAAGGCUCGGGGUCUUCUCGCUCCUGCUCGUGCUCCCCCUCCUCCGACGCGGCCCCGGCGGCCGCCGCCUCCCCGGUUUCCUCGACCGACGCCUCGCGCGCCUCAGCCGCCACCAGUUCGGGCUCGGGCUCGGGCUCCGACUCUUCGGGUUCGGGUUCCGGCUGGGGCUCACCGCCGCCGCACGGUCCGCGAAACUCGCCCAG